RNAcentral lists this ribosomal RNA (721 nucleotides) under uncultured bacterium. Its description in RNAcentral is "bacterial SSU rRNA". It matches the Rfam family "Bacterial small subunit ribosomal RNA", at positions 730 to 1457 of the family's 1533-position model. The record is from RNAcentral.
UGGCCUGACACUGACGCUCAGGCACGAAAGCGUGGGGAGCAAACAGGAUUAGAUACCCUGGUAGUCCACGCCCUAAACGAUGCUCACUAGGUGUUGGGGAAGCGAUUCCUUGGUACCGUAGCUAACGCGUGAAGUGAGCCGCCUGGGGAGUACGGCCGCAAGGUUAAAACUCAAAGGAAUUGACGGGGACCCGCACAAGCGGUGGAUGAUGUGGAUUAAUUCGAUGCAACGCGAACAACCUUACCUACCCUUGACAUGUCUGGAGGGCUGCUGAAAGGUGGCUGUGCCCGAAAGGGAACCGGAACACAGGUGCUGCAUGGCUGUCGUCAGCUCGCGUCGUGAGAUGUUGGGUUAAGUCCCGCAACGAGCGCAACCCUUGUCCCUAGUUGCUACGCAAGGGCACUCUAGGGAGACUGCCGGUGACAAACCGGAGGAAGGUGGGGAUGACGUCAAGUCCUCAUGGCCCUUAUGGGUAGGGCUUCACACGUCAUACAAUGGACGGUACAGAGGGUUGCCAACCCGCGAGGGGGAGCCAAUCCCAGAAAGCCGUUCGUAGUCCGGAUUGCAGUCUGCAACUCGACUGCAUGAAGUCGGAAUCGCUAGUAAUCGCGGAUCAGCAUGUCGCGGUGAAUACGUUCCCGGGUCUUGUACACACCGCCCGUCACACCAUGGGAGCGGGAUGUACCAGAAGUAGGUAGGCUAACCGCGAGGAGGCCGCUAC